UACAGAGGUGGCAAGCGUUGUUCGGAAUUACUGGGCGUAAAGGGCGCGUAGGCGGUUCUGUAAGUCCCGCGUGAAAUCCCCCGGCUCAACUGGGGAACUGCGCGGGAAACUGUGGGGCUAGAGUUCAGGAGAGGGAAGCGGAAUUCCGGGUGUAGCGGUGAAAUGCGUAGAUAUCCGGAGGAACACCGGUGGCGAAGGCGGCUUCCUGGACUGACACUGACGCUGAGGCGCGAAAGCUAGGGGAGCAAACAGG
Molecule: ribosomal RNA, 253 nt
Filed under: uncultured bacterium
Lineage: Bacteria
Description: partial 16S ribosomal RNA
Rfam family: Bacterial small subunit ribosomal RNA
Source: RNAcentral